RNAcentral lists this ribosomal RNA (484 nucleotides) under uncultured bacterium. RNAcentral describes it as "partial 16S ribosomal RNA". It matches the Rfam family "Bacterial small subunit ribosomal RNA", at positions 30 to 507 of the family's 1533-position model. The record is from RNAcentral.
AUUGAACGCUGGCGGCAGGCCUAACACAUGCAAGUCGAGCGGAUGAAGGGAGCUUGCUCCUGGAUUCAGCGGCGGACGGGUGAGUAAUGCCUAGGAAUCUGCCUGGUAGUGGGGGAUAACGUCCGGAAACGGGCGCUAAUACCGCAUACGUCCUGAGGGUGAAAGUGGGGGAUCUUCGGACCUCACGCUAUCUGAUGAGCCUAGGUCGGAUUAGCUAGUUGGUGGGGUAAAGGCCUACCAAGGCGACGAUCCGUAACUGGUCUGAGUGGAUGAUCAGUCACACUGGAACUGAGACACGGUCCAGACUCCUACGGGAGGCAGCAGUGGGGAAUAUUGGACAAUGGGCGAAAGCCUGAUCCAGCCAUGCCGCGUGUGUGAAGAAGGUCUUCGGAUUGUAAAGCACUUUAAGUUGGGAGGAAGGGCAGUAAGUUAAUACCUUGCUGUUUUGACGUUACCAACAGAAUAAGCACCGGCUAACUUCGUG